GACGAACGCUGGCGGCGUGCUUAACACAUGCGAGUCGAACGGACAGGCCCUGCUUUUGUGGGGUGCUCGAGUGGCGAACGGGUGAGUAACACGUGAGUAACCUGCCCUUGAAUUUGGGAUAACUUCAGGAAACUGGGGCUAAUACCGGAUAGGAGCUCCUGCUGCAUGGUGGGGGUUGGAAAGUUUCGGCGGUUGGGGAUGGACUCGCGGCUUAUCAGCUUGUUGGUGGGGUAGUGGCUUACCAAGGCUUUGACGGGUAGCCGGCCUGGGAGGGUGACCGGCCACAUUGGGACUGAGAGACGGCCCAGACUCCUACGGGAGGCAGCAGUGGGGAAUAUUGCACAAUGGGCGGAAGCCUGAUGCAGCAACGCCGCGUGCGGGAUGACGGCCUUCGGGUUGUAAACCGCUUUCGCCUGUGACGAAGCGUUAGUGACGGUAAUGGGUAAAGAAGCACCGGCUAACUACGUG
RNAcentral lists this ribosomal RNA (468 nucleotides) under uncultured bacterium. Its description in RNAcentral is "partial 16S ribosomal RNA". It matches the Rfam family "Bacterial small subunit ribosomal RNA", at positions 28 to 507 of the family's 1533-position model. The record is from RNAcentral.